CUUUUAGCAAGUUAUUUUAUUAGCAUUUGUUAAAAGACACCAACUAAUUUUUAUGAAUGUGUCUUUUAACAAAGUUAUAACUAAAAAGUGAAAAUCACACCUCGAGGUGUGGGUUGCUAAAAGACAUCUUCAUGGAUGGCUUCUAGCAAAACCCUAUAUAUAUAUAAGUCGAGACUCGUCCUCGUGAGCUUAACUUAGUUGACAUGGACAAUGUAUAAUAUAAGUUGAGACUUAAUUACUAAAGUUGUAUGUCGUUAUAAAAUGAUAAGUAAAUCAAGUUAUAGAAAUGUCAUUUAGUGGGUCA
This 304-nucleotide long non-coding RNA is filed under the name Medicago truncatula (barrel medic). RNAcentral describes it as "lncRNA gene24535". Lineage: Eukaryota; Viridiplantae; Streptophyta; Magnoliopsida; Fabales; Fabaceae. The record is from RNAcentral.